Non-coding RNA from Biomphalaria pfeifferi, 1375 nucleotides. Lineage: Eukaryota; Metazoa; Mollusca; Gastropoda; Planorbidae. The record is from the annotation of a GenBank genome assembly.
GUAUUGAAAAAUAGUUUUUUUUUGUUUUUUUUGACAAGAGUGGAAAAUGAUAAAUGUCCAAUUGGUUGAAAGAGACUGUGUGUGUGUGUGUGUCAAAUGCUGGACAUAAGUGAACACAAAUAACAAAGUCACUCAUCACAUUUUCAAUGCAGUCCUCUCUGUAGUACAUACCGGUAAUAGGGGAAUUUGUUUUCUCCUGAGUCCUAGACUAUAUUUCUGUAAGAAAGACACUUGUCUGGCUCCUGUUGUUGCACACAGAGAUUGGAAUAAUGGGUAAGAAUGUGCAGAGCUGGUAGUACACUAUGGAGAAGCUCAGUUCCAAGUGAUAGAUGUGUAACAUUACAGCCACAUCUCAAGUGAUUAGAGAACAAUCCAAGACUUCACAAAUAAUUUCCAUGUUGUCACUGAGUGUCAAGCAAGUUCAGGUAGUCCCUGAGUGCCAGGUCACUUAAAUGUUGAUUAUUUUUACAACUUCAAAUGUCCAGUCUAUGAACUCUUAGAUGUGAUUGAAUCUCAUUUGGUUUUAUCAAGUCUUUCUUCUGGACUGCAAACAAUACAUGACUUAGAGUUGCAUAAAUAGUCUUGAGUGCAUAAAUAUAAAUAUAUAUAUAUAUGAAGAACAUUUCAACAAGUGAAACAAAGGUCAACCCUGACAAAGGGAAGAUCAUUAGAGAGCAAAAAAUGAAGUGGUCAGCCUAAUACUGGACAUAAAGUGAGUACAGCUCAUCAAAUAGAUCAAUACUGCACUGCUUUUAGAAACCCAAGCCAUGAAAUAUAUUCAUGGAACAUUCCAAAUGUCAUUCUAAAGGAAACUAAGGAAAUAAUUAUUAUGACAUUGUAUGUAGAUAAUAUUAAAAAUGAUGAUUGUUUAAAGAAUACAAAUUGAGAUAUGAUUGUAGUGUAACCAAAACAAAAGCUUGAAAUUAAACCAAUCACACACUGGUAAUGUACAGAAGGUCACAGAGAGAUGAAAGUUCAUGUGAUAAGACAACAAUAGAGAAUUGGAUAAAUUCAAUGAUACAAAAGGCAACAACAUAGUGUCUUUACUUUUCAUGUGUAAUAGACAAGAAAUACCACCAAAACCAGUCUAUGUGGGCAGGCUGGGCAUUCAACCUCUAUUGAAUUGGUAGGAGACAGGCAAGAUUAUUGGCAUAAGGAGUGAACUGUUUGCAAAUACUAAUACAUACCAACAAUUUGAAGCAAUAAAAAAAAAUAUUUGAAUAUGAAAUGAGUUUUUGUAUACUACUAUUGACAAAACUGUUGUCCAUUAAAAGGUUUUGUUGAAAUGGAAAUAUGUCAACUUGAGUUGCAAGGGAAAUAAGUUUUAGAAACUUGACCUCUGAACUGUGGCUCCAUUAUAAGGUUUUUAGAUGCU